Long non-coding RNA from Panicum virgatum (switchgrass), 417 nucleotides. RefSeq lists it as uncharacterized. Lineage: Eukaryota; Viridiplantae; Streptophyta; Magnoliopsida; Poales; Poaceae. The transcript has 3 exons. The record is from RefSeq and is a predicted model, not a curated record.
CCGUCGUUGUGUACUGCGUCGAGUUCGAGAAGAGGAGUGUCAAGAAACCAGCCGCAAGGGACAUCUUCCUCACGCGAGACCAAUACUUAAGGGUGCCUCCGAACUAGUGCGCAAACAAGGCCGAGUGCUGGUCUAUGAUGGUGGACAAGUGGAUCAGUGAGGAUUGGGCCCGCCAGCACGCCUUAUGCCGGGAGCGCCGCUUGAUGAUGCCGGGUCCGGCACAUCAUCAAGUGAGCCUUAGCCUCGGCGAGUACAAGAAUACUUGGUCGGAGUCUCAUCCAGGCCAGUCUUGCAACGACUUCACGGCAUACGCCAUGUCUCACAUGGGCAGGGCGACGUCGGACGUGGCCUACAACCCGGCGGCUCCACCAGAGGCCUACACAAACCCAAACAUCCACGCGCGCAUCAAUGCGUACA